This 1237-nucleotide ribosomal RNA is filed under the name uncultured bacterium. RNAcentral's name for it is "bacterial SSU rRNA". It matches the Rfam family "Bacterial small subunit ribosomal RNA", at positions 155 to 1368 of the family's 1533-position model. The record is from RNAcentral.
ACGAGGGGCUAAAACCGGAAUAAUUUUAGAUGUUGGCAUCAACGUUUAAGGAAAGGUGGCCUCUGAAAAUGCUCCCGAUUAUGGAUGGACCCGCGUCUGAUUAGAUAGUUGGUGGGGUAAAGGCCUACCAAGGCGACGAUCAGUAGCCGGCUUGAGAGGGUGAACGGCCACACUGGGAUUGAGACACGGCCCAGACUCUUACGGGAGGCAGCAGUGGGGAAUCUUCCGCAAUGGACGAAAGUCUGACGGAGCAACGCCGCGUGUAUGAUGAAGGUCUUCGGAUUGUAAAGUACUUGUCUUUGGGGAAGAAUGAUCGGAUUGAAAAUAUUGAUUCGAUAUGACGGUACCCAAGGAGGAAGCCCCGGCUAACUACGUGCCAGCAGCCGCGGUAAUACGUAGGGGGCAAGCGUUGUCCGGAAUUAUUGGGCGUAAAGGGCGCGUAGGCGGGUAUUUAAGUCUGGUGUGAAAGAUCAGGGCUCAACCCUGAGAGUGCAUCGGAAACUGGGUAUGCUUGAGGACAGGAGAGGAAAGUGGAAUUCCACGUGUAGCGGUGAAAUGCGUAGAUAUGUGGAGGAACACCAGUGGCGAAGGCGACUUUCUGGACUGUAACUGACGCUGAGGCGCGAAAGCGUGGGGAGCAAACAGGAUUAGAUACCUUGGUAGUCCACGCCGUAAACGAUGAGUGCUAGGUGUAGAGGGUAUCGACCCCUUCUGUGCCGCAGUUAACACAAUAAGCACUCCGCCUGGGGAGUACGGCCGCAAGGUUGAAACUCAAAGGAAUUGACGGGGGCCCGCACAAGCGGUGGAGCAUGUGGUUUAAUUCGACGCAACGCGAAGAACCUUACCAAGGCUUGACAUCCUACGAAUCUCUUGGAAACAAGGGAGUGCCCUUCGGGGAGCGUAGAGACAGGUGGUGCAUGGUUGUCGUCAGCUCGUGUCGUGAGAUGUUGGGUUAAGUCCCGCAACGAGCGCAACCCCUGUGUUUAGUUGCUAACGCGUAAUGGCGAGCACUCUAGACAGACUGCCGGUGAUAAACCGGAGGAAGGUGGGGAUGACGUCAAAUCAUCAUGCCCCUUAUGUCUUGGGCUACACACGUGCUACAAUGGCCGGUACAGACGGACGCGAAGCCGCGAGGUGGAGCAAAUCCGAGAAAGCCGGUCUCAGUUCGGAUUGCAGGCUGCAACUCGCUUGCAUAAGUGGAAUCGCUAGUAUCGCAGGUCAGCAACUGCGGUAAAAG